GCAGGAGCGCCAUCGUGGGAGAGGGGGGCGGGUUGUAGACCCGCUGUCUCGGCUGAGCAGGUUCGAAUCCUGUCUCCUGCA
RNAcentral lists this transfer RNA (81 nucleotides) under Kribbella qitaiheensis. RNAcentral describes it as "tRNA-Tyr". It matches the Rfam family "tRNA". From Rfam's summary of the family: Transfer RNA (tRNA) molecules are approximately 80 nucleotides in length. Their secondary structure includes four short double-helical elements and three loops (D, anti-codon, and T loops). Further hydrogen bonds mediate the characteristic L-shaped molecular structure. tRNAs have two regions of fundamental functional importance: the anti-codon, which is responsible for specific mRNA codon recognition, and the 3' end, to which the tRNAs corresponding amino acid is attached (by aminoacyl-tRNA synthetases). tRNAs cope with the degeneracy of the genetic code in two manners: having more than one tRNA (with a specific anti-codon) for a particular amino acid; and 'wobble' base-pairing, i.e. permitting non-standard base-pairing at the 3rd anti-codon position. Lineage: Bacteria; Bacillati; Actinomycetota; Actinomycetes; Propionibacteriales; Kribbellaceae. The record is from RNAcentral.